GGCAAUUUGGCCGAGUGGUUAAGGCGCGGCCCUGCUAAGGCCGUGUGCUAUGCAUGCGAGAGUUCGAAUCUCUCAGUUGUCG
Ochromonadaceae sp. CCMP2298 is the source of this 82-nucleotide non-coding RNA. Lineage: Eukaryota; Synurophyceae; Ochromonadales; Ochromonadaceae. The record is from the annotation of a GenBank genome assembly.